RNAcentral lists this ribosomal RNA (656 nucleotides) under Staphylococcus aureus. RNAcentral describes it as "partial 23S ribosomal RNA". It matches the Rfam family "Bacterial large subunit ribosomal RNA", at positions 283 to 935 of the family's 2925-position model. The record is from RNAcentral. Lineage: Bacteria; Bacillati; Bacillota; Bacilli; Caryophanales; Staphylococcaceae.
GCUUGCUUGUUGGGGUUGUAGGACACUCUAUACGGAGUUACAAAGGACGACAUUAGACGAAUCAUCUGGAAAGAUGAAUCAAAGAAGGUAAUAAUCCUGUAGUCGAAAAUGUUGUCUCUCUUGAGUGGAUCCUGAGUACGACGGAGCACGUGAAAUUCCGUCGGAAUCUGGGAGGACCAUCUCCUAAGGCUAAAUACUCUCUAGUGACCGAUAGUGAACCAGUACCGUGAGGGAAAGGUGAAAAGCACCCCGGAAGGGGAGUGAAAUAGAACCUGAAACCGUGUGCUUACAAGUAGUCAGAGCCCGUUAAUGGGUGAUGGCGUGCCUUUUGUAGAAUGAACCGGCGAGUUACGAUUUGAUGCAAGGUUAAGCAGUAAAUGUGGAGCCGUAGCGAAAGCGAGUCUGAAUAGGGCGUUUAGUAUUUGGUCGUAGACCCGAAACCAGGUGAUCUACCCUUGGUCAGGUUGAAGUUCAGGUAACACUGAAUGGAGGACCGAACCGACUUACGUUGAAAAGUGAGCGGAUGAACUGAGGGUAGCGGAGAAAUUCCAAUCGAACCUGGAGAUAGCUGGUUCUCUCCGAAAUAGCUUUAGGGCUAGCCUCAAGUGAUGAUUAUUGGAGGUAGAGCACUGUUUGGACGAGGGGCCCCUCUCGGG